UAAAACAAUAGUGUUACAAACAAUUAGAGUUUAUUUCACUUACUUGACUAUUUUAGAAGCUUUAUAACAUGUCUACAAAAACUCGUAUGUCACAUGAUCCACUAAUUCAUGGAGACCAAUGAAACACAUCACGCUAUACUCAUAAUCAUAAUGCAUUGUGUAUUACAAGUCAAUGAAUAUUUUGUGUGUUUUAUAGAUUGGUUGACAUAUUCCGUAAGAUUUAAGUGUUUUUGUUUGCAAGCAAUCAAUUUCCAAAUUGUUUGGCAAUAUUUAUAUUUCUAAAUAAAAUUAUAAGGUAAAAAUAAUUGUUUAUCUUCAGUAAUUAAAAAAAAAAAAAAAAAGUGGUGCAUGUAACACGAAUUAAAUGAUGCAAUGUUGAAUUAAGUUGUUGGGGAAUGUUUUUGAACUUUUCUGGACUCUCGAGGAUGAUGAUGUUGUGUUGUGUUUUGUGUGUCUUCCUCACCGCCUCUCAUACAACCCAUUGAAUGAACCCU
This 494-nucleotide long non-coding RNA is filed under the name Capsella rubella. RNAcentral's name for it is "long non-coding RNA (CRUB_LNC003508)". Lineage: Eukaryota; Viridiplantae; Streptophyta; Magnoliopsida; Brassicales; Brassicaceae. The record is from RNAcentral.